Molecule: transfer RNA, 66 nt
Filed under: Papilio demoleus (lime butterfly)
Lineage: Eukaryota; Metazoa; Arthropoda; Insecta; Lepidoptera; Papilionidae
Description: tRNA-Cys
Source: RNAcentral
AGUCUUAUAGUCAUUAAUGAUAUAAAAUUGCAAAUUUUAAGGAGUACAAAUUAAAUACUAAGGCUU